This 465-nucleotide ribosomal RNA is filed under the name uncultured bacterium. RNAcentral describes it as "partial 16S ribosomal RNA". It matches the Rfam family "Bacterial small subunit ribosomal RNA", at positions 28 to 507 of the family's 1533-position model. The record is from RNAcentral.
GACGAACGCUGGCGGCGUGCUUAACACAUGCAAGUCGAACGGAAAGGCCCUGCUUGCAGGGUACUCGAGUGGCGAACGGGUGAGUAACACGUGGGUGAUCUGCCCUGCACUUCGGGAUAAGCCUGGGAAACUGGGUCUAAUACCGGAUAGGAGCCAGUUUUAGUGUGAUGGUUGGAAAGUUUUUUCGGUGUAGGAUGAGCUCGCGGCCUAUCAGCUUGUUGGUGGGGUAAUGGCCUACCAAGGCGGCGACGGGUAGCCGGCCUGAGAGGGUGGACGGCCACAUUGGGACUGAGAUACGGCCCAGACUCCUACGGGAGGCAGCAGUGGGGAAGAUUGCACAAUGGGCGCAAGCCUGAUGCAGCGACGCCGCGUGGGGGAUGACGGCCUUCGGGUUGUAAACUGCUUUCGCUAGGGACGAAGCUUUUUGUGACGGUACCUAGAUAAGAAGCACCGGCUAACUAUGUG